AGCAGUAAGGAAUAUUGGUCAAUGGGCGCAAGCCUGAACCAGCAACGCCGCGUGCGGGAAGAAGGGUUUCGGCCUGUAAACCGCUUUUCUGGGGGACGAUGAUGACGGUACCUCAGGAAGAAGUCUCGGCUAACUACGUGCCAGCAGCCGCGGUAAAACGUAGGAGGCAAGCGUUAUCCGGAUUUACUGGGCGUAAAGCGCGUGCAGGCGGUGCGAUAAGUCGUGCGUGAAAGCCCCUGGCUCAACUGGGGGAGGACGUGCGAGACUGUCGGACUAGAGGUCAGUAGAGGCAAGUGGAAUUCCGGGUGGAGUGGUGAAAUGCGUAGAGAUCCGGAGGAACCCCAGUGGCGAAGGCGGCUUGCUGGGCUGCACCUGACGCUCAGACGCGAAAGCAUGGGGAGCGAACGGGAUUAGAAACCCCGGUAGUCCAYGCCGUAAACGAUGUUCACUAGGCGCUGGGUGACUUUCGUUGCUCGGUGCCGCAGCAAACGCGGGAA
RNAcentral lists this ribosomal RNA (497 nucleotides) under bacterium enrichment culture. Its description in RNAcentral is "bacterial SSU rRNA". It matches the Rfam family "Bacterial small subunit ribosomal RNA", at positions 350 to 863 of the family's 1533-position model. The record is from RNAcentral.